UACGAAGGGGGCGAGCGUUGUCCGGAGUUACUGGGCGUAAAGGGCAUGCAGGCGGUCCGACACGUUUUGUGUGACAGCGGGUGGCUUAACUACCCGAGGAUACGAAAGACGGUUGGACUUGAGGACUCGAGAGGGACACGGAAUUCCGGGUGGAGUGGUGAAAUGCGCAGAUAUCGGGAGGAACACCAAUUGCGAAGGCAGCUCGCUGGGACGUUACUGACGCUGAGACGCGAAAGCGUGGGGAGCAAACAGG
This 253-nucleotide ribosomal RNA is filed under the name uncultured bacterium. RNAcentral's name for it is "partial 16S ribosomal RNA". It matches the Rfam family "Bacterial small subunit ribosomal RNA", at positions 524 to 776 of the family's 1533-position model. The record is from RNAcentral.